This 468-nucleotide ribosomal RNA is filed under the name uncultured bacterium. RNAcentral describes it as "partial 16S ribosomal RNA". It matches the Rfam family "Bacterial small subunit ribosomal RNA", at positions 28 to 507 of the family's 1533-position model. The record is from RNAcentral.
GACGAACGCUGGCGGCGUGCUUAACACAUGCAAGUCGAACGGAAAGGCCCUGCUUUUGUGGGGUGCUCGAGUGGCGAACGGGUGAGUAACACGUGAGUAACCUGCCCUUGACUUUGGGAUAACUUCAGGAAACUGGGGCUAAUACCGGAUAGGAGCCCCUGCUGCAUGGUGGGGGUUGGAAAGUUUCGGCGGUUGGGGAUGGACUCGCGGCUUAUCAGCUUGUUGGUGGGGUAGUGGCUUACCAAGGCUUUGACGGGUAGCCGGCCUGAGAGGGUGACCGGCCACAUUGGGACUGAGAUACGGCCCAGACUCCUACGGGAGGCAGCAGUGGGGAAUAUUGCACAAUGGGCGGAAGCCUGUUGCAGCAACGCCGCGUGCGGGAUGCCGUCCUUCGGGUUGUAAACCGCUUUCGCCUGUGACGAAGCGUGAGUGACGGUAAUGGGUAAAGAAGCACCGGCUAACUACGUG